This 340-nucleotide unclassified non-coding RNA is filed under the name fungal sp. RNAcentral describes it as "partial internal transcribed spacer region". The stretch from base 1 to 46 matches the Rfam family "Eukaryotic small subunit ribosomal RNA", at positions 1786 to 1831 of the family's 1831-position model. The record is from RNAcentral. Lineage: Eukaryota; Fungi.
AAGUCGUAACAAGGUAUCCGUAGGUGAACCUGCGGAUGGAUCAUUAACACAACUCAAACCACUGGUUUAGCAGAUCUCUCUCUUCAGAGGGUUUGCUAUUCCUUUUAAAACCCAAACUUUGCGAACACGUCAACGUUUCUUUUUCUUCUCGAAAGAGAAUGGGAGAGGCGUUCGUUUUUCCCUUCUUUAUCAAUUUUUCAACUUUUAACACCUACUUCCUUCCUAGCAAGGUUGAAAUAACUUGUACUGAGGGUGCUGUGUAAGCACAUUUAAAAACUAACACAAUAAUACAACUCUUAACAACGGAUAUCUCGGCUCUCGUAACGAUGAAAAACGCAGC